Molecule: long non-coding RNA, 2460 nt
Organism: Varroa destructor (honeybee mite)
Lineage: Eukaryota; Metazoa; Arthropoda; Arachnida; Mesostigmata; Varroidae
Source: RefSeq, a predicted model, not a curated record
GGUAGCGGUCGCAGACAUAUAGUAGCAAGAUAUUACGUGCUUUUACCAUUACGUGCUCCGGCAAAAUAGUGACUCUUGUGCAGCUAACAUCGGCGCACAGUUUUGACGCACUAAAAAUUAUCCGAACGCAAGCAAUUGGGGAGAACCCAGUAAGAAGAAUCAACUACACAACAAGCCUAAAAAACAAUAGCAACACGGGGCUGUAGGAAGUCGCCAAUGAGUGCGGCACCACUCCAUUGCGAAAAGCGAACCCGAGCCCAUGAAGGCUUCACCGACCCAACCGGGCGAUGGCCACUACCGACAACAACCAUUCCGUAAUGGACGAACCGAGCUGCUGUUGUUGAUAAUGGCGAGUCUGCUGCUGCUGAAGUUAGCAACAAUAUCGAUACCUGAAACACUCACUCAGAAGUCUGGUUGUGGUAACGGUCGGAAAUGGCAAGCUAAAAAAGGUAGCCGACUGUGUCCGGUCGAUGGACACCUGAACCAAAAUCCGGGCACUCAGCUGGAGUGUGGUGCCGAAACUAGCAUCUCGGAAGUGGCAACAACUUGCAGCAUUAGUGAGAAUAUUAAAAAAAUCGUGAACGUAACCUAUUUGCAAAGUGUGAACUAAUAGCUUGUUGGGUCUAUCUGGGAGCGGGCGUCGGCGAAAUUAUGUCGAUUCAGCGCCGAGGUUUUGUUCACUGAUGAUCGUAUCUAGAGGAUCGCUUUUGUUUCGUCACGAAGAGUUUACCGGUAGCACUACCUUAUUACAUCGAGCUGGCCUUGCUAGAAAAUAUAAAUUUAACUAGGUACGAUUGAAGGACCCUUCCAGUGAGAAAGCAAGACUUAUCGAGGGAUAAACAACGUUUUAGCGCGAAAUUUGUCUAAUUCGCUGCGAGUCGUAUCGAGAACAUGUACUAUGUGAUCGUGUGCUUCUAGUAGUUCUCGUCUUAAAACUGCACACGCGUAUGUUUCAUGAUUGGCUGCUGUUACUGCUAUUGAUUCUAGCAUGUAGGCGCAUGAGAUUCAACCUCUACCUACCGAACGAUCCAGAGACCAACUCCAGCUACGAGUCCAGUAAUUCUAGUUUUACCAGUGAACUGUAGGCAUGGAACAUGUAUGAACAUAUUUGCAAACGUCAUUGAUUUCGAUGUGAGGUCGUCCGCCACUUACCGCCGCGCAAGGUCCUGCUGCGUCGAACAGCUAAAGCACUGGACGAUUAUCAAUCGAGAAUCAUCGCCUACCUUGGGGAACUGGCACCUUCAAACCAGAAUUGAUCGAGAGCGUAGAUGCCUCUGGGCUGUAUAUCGGGACAGACAAAUGGGUUCUUUCAUAUGCGUCCUGCUAACCUACUUGGAUCAAGCUUCUGGCUCAACACUGAACUUCCCUAUACGACGGUACUCGAGCACUGAAACCGUAUGAUAAUUAUAUCAGCAAUAAUUAAGUGCUAGCCGCGAACGACUAACUAACGACGGUGUGCACGUAACACAAAAGAAAUAGUCAAACGAGAAACCCCAUGAAGUAGGCCUUUAGUGAAGAUAGCAUUACGUUAUUCUCGAGACUUAUUUCAACUAUUCUGCUCAACUGUACGCCGGUCCCGUGCAUCGAAGGUUGCUAUGUGGUCGGAUGCGGAACUAUUCACUGAGGCAAGCCGUGACACUAUAGCCGUGCGAGGUUCUCCUGAAUAAUUCAAUGACAUCGUACAAGAGGAACCAUGACCGAAGGCCUAAAGCAAACGUAACGUUGAAAGUUUUUCCCUCUUCGAAUAUUACGCCUGUCUGCGAUCCCGACUAUAACAUAACCUGCCGACGAUCAUUGAGUCACAGUGAAUCUGGCCGGUUUCUAUGCACCCGAUUCUACUGAACCAGUUUCCCAAAAUCCUAAAAAUAAUUAUAUAAUUGCGUUGCAGAAAACACAGAUUCAUCUUGCUUAGUAUUAAGCGUUUAUUCCUAACUAAUGAAGAGUCCGCUAAAGGAGCCCGCUAAAGCCUGGUGUCUAACGUCACGUACAAACGGUUAUCUCUCGUUGUGACGAAAUGGCCACCUUUGCACAUGUAAAAGAUCUACUUGGUUAUUUACGUCGAAAAGACAGAAUACAACUGCAUCGUAUUGGCGGUUGUUAGAAAUCAAAUAUUGUUUAUUUGAUUUGAGACAUUUUGACAUGGAUAGGAGAAUGGCUAAAACGUGGGUGGAUACCGCCAGAGUUGAUCAGUCUAGCCUAAACCAUUUUGAGCUUGGACGGAAAUUUAAAUCUAAAAAUUUCACCCAUCCUUUUCAUGAAAAUUUCUUCGUUAAUUCGAACUGGAUUCGCCACCGCAAGACUUCGGUAGACGUACGUAUAUUAGGACAAGCUGCGGGUGUUAAAGCCUGAGCGCUGAGGUGUUAUUAUUAAUAAAUUCAUUGGAAGAAUUAUAUAGUGAAAUGUGUACUUUGUAUAAGUUUACGAAACUUUUUGUUAAGUCGAGAACUACAUGAGUCGGCA